RNAcentral lists this ribosomal RNA (1384 nucleotides) under uncultured bacterium. Its description in RNAcentral is "16S ribosomal RNA". It matches the Rfam family "Bacterial small subunit ribosomal RNA". The record is from RNAcentral.
UAGAGUUUGAUCCUGGCUCAGGAUGAACGCUAGCUAUAGGCUUAACACAUGCAAGUCGAGGGGCAGCGAAUAGAUGGCUUGCUAUUUAUGUCGGCGACCGGCGCACGGGUGAGUAACGCGUAUCCAACCUGCCCAUAACUAAGGGAUAACCCAGCGAAAGUUGGACUAAUACCUUAUGUAUUCGUUUGAUCUCAUGAGAUUACGAAUAAAGAUUUAUCGGUUAUGGAUGGGGAUGCGUCUGAUUAGCUUGUUGGCGGGGUAACGGCCCACCAAGGCAACGAUCAGUAGGGGUUCUGAGAGGAAGGUCCCCCACAUUGGAACUGAGACACGGUCCAAACUCCUACGGGAGGCAGCAGUGAGGAAUAUUGGUCAAUGGACGCAAGUCUGAACCAGCCAAGUAGCGUGCAGGAUGACGGCCCUAUGGGUUGUAAACUGCUUUUAUAUGGGGAUAAAGUGGGGAACGUGUUCCCUUUUGCAGGUACCAUAUGAAUAAGGACCGGCUAAUUCCGUGCCAGCAGCCGCGGUAAUACGGAAGGUUCGGGCGUUAUCCGGAUUUAUUGGGUUUAAAGGGAGCGUAGGCCGUUUGGUAAGCGUGUUGUGAAAUGUAGUAGCUCAACUUCUAGAUUGCAGCGCGAACUGUCAGACUUGAGUGCGCACAACGUAGGCGGAAUUCAUGGUGUAGCGGUGAAAUGCUCAGAUAUCAUGAAGAACUCCGAUUGCGAAGGCAGCUUACGGGAGCGCAACUGACGCUGAAGCUCGAAGGUGCGGGUAUCGAACAGGAUUAGAUACCCUGGUAGUCCGCACAGUAAACGAUGGAUGCCCGCUGUUAGCACCUAGUGUUAGCGGCUAAGCGAAAGCAUUAAGCAUCCCACCUGGGGGAGUACGCCGGCAACGGUGAAACUCAAAGGAAUUGGCGGGGCCCCGCACAAGCGGCGGGUCAUGUGGUUUAAUUCGAUGAUACGCGACGAACCUUGCCCGGGCUUGAAUUGCAGAUGAACGAUUUAGAGAUAAUGAGGUCCUUCGGGACAUCUGUGAAGGUGCUGCAUGGUUGUCGUCAGCUGGUGCCGUGAGGUGUCGGAUUAAGUACCAUAACGAGCGCCCCCCUUUUUUUUAGUCCUCAUCAGGUUUUGGUGCGCUCUGUGGAGAUACCCCCCCUGUAAGGUGUGAGGAAGGUGGGGAUGGUGUCAAAUCAGCGCGCCCCUUAUCUCCGGGGCCACACGCGUGUCACAAUGGGUGGCACAGAUAGUUUGUGUGUAUGCAAAUCCUAUUUUCUCCUUAAACCCAUUUCCAGUUCGGAUUGGGUUUUCCACCCCGCCCCCCCGAAGCUGGAUUCGUUAGUAUUCGGCCAUCACCCAUGGCGCGGUGAAUCGGUUCCGGGCCUUGU